UAAGGAUUAGAGCGUCGAAUGUUUGAUCAUAAUUACACAUGGUAUUUACGCAGGUAUCACUCCGCCAGAAAAGUAGAGACCUGUGGAUGUGUUUCAUGUUUCCAAAACAGACUUUUGCUGAGGUAUCACUCCGCCAGAAAAGUAGAGACCUGUGUAUGUGUUUCAUGUUUCCAAAACAGACUUUUGCUGAUGAGGUAUCACUCCGCCAGAAAAGUAGAGACCUGUGUAUGCGUUUCAUGUUUCCAAAACAGACUCUUCUGACCUCUCCCCGCCCAUCUCACCCACACCUUUCAUCCCCCAAGUGGCGAGGUCCAGUGUGGGGCGUCGCAUCAAUUACUCGAUGGACAAACACAUUCACCUCCGCUGGAGCAGAGCGACGACCGAACCAAACGGAACAAAUUGAAUCAAGAGGCAAAAAUCCCAGCUCUCCAAACCUAUAUACGGUCUUCUUUUCUGUCCACAAUUUUCUCCACUCGUACUCUUCCUGCCGUUCCCUCCUGAUCGGGCGGCCUCCCUGGAAGUCUCUUUCAGCCCACUGCGUCGCAAUCAUAAUAACUCCACACAGAAAACAAUGGCCUUCUCUUUUUAAUCUCCACUUUCAUGGAAGGGAAAGCCUCGGGGCUUGAGCCGUUUUAUCCUGUUACACCUCAGAAAGCGGCGCUACGUCGACGCCGCUGUGCAGUUCAGCCGCAGACUCUCAUCGAGCGGGACACUAACUGGUAACUGAACUCAAAGCAGCAAGGUUGAAACAAGGUUAUAAGAACCAUGAGACAAAAAAAAAAUCACUCACACAAUAGCCUUGAUCUCCAGUUGCUGCUGCUGCUGUUGUUGUUGUUGUUGUUGAUGUUGAUGCCCACGGCGGUGAGACCUGUUGUCAGGCUCUACCUCGCUCCUUUGGGGGUGGCUUCAAGGAGGGAAGAGACGAGAAUAUGACAUUUGUUGUGAGACAAAAAAGAGCAGUGUAGUAAGGGAGGACUCACACCAUUAACUAGAUCCACUAUGGACUGGACUCUCACACUAUUAUGUUAGAUCCACUAUGGACUGGACUCUCACUAUUAUGUUAGAUCCACUAUGGACUGGACUCUCACACUACUAUGUUAGAUCCACUAUUGACUGGACUCACACUAUUAUGUUAAAUCCACUAUGGAAUGGACUCUCACACUAUUAUGUUAGAUCCACUAUGGACUGGACUCUCACACUAUUAUGUUAGAUCCACUAUGGACUGGACUAUCACACUAUUAUGUUAGAUCCACUAUGGACUGGACUCACACUAUUAACUAGAGCCACUAUGCACUGGACUCUCGCACUAUUAUGUUAGAUCCACCAUGGACUGUACUCUCACAAUAUUAACUAGAUCCAUUGUGGACUGGACUCUCACUAUUAACUAAAUCCAAUAUUCACUGGACUCUCACUAUUAACUAAAUCACUGUGGACUGGACUCUCACACUAUUAACUACAUCCACUCCACUAUGGACUGGACUCACACUAUUAACUAGAUCCACCAUGGACUGGACUCUCAUACUAUUAUGUUAGAUCCACUAUGGACUGGACUCUCACACUAUUAUGUUAGAUCCACUAUGGACUGGACUCUCACACUAUUAACUAGAUCCACUCCACUAUGUACUGGACUCUCACUAUUAUGUUAGAUCCACUUUGGACUGGACUCUCACUAUUAUGUUAGAUCCACUAUGGACUGGACUCUCACUAUUAUGUUAGAUCCACUAUGGACUGGACUCUCACUAUUAUGUUAGAUCCACUAUGGACUGGACUCUCACACUAUUAACUAGAUCCACUCCACUAUGGAUUGGACUCUCACACUUUUAACAAUCGAAUGAGAAUGAGAACCCUUGGAGGGGACCGCCGAUGUGGGAACCCCCACACCCUGGGCGACCGGUGCAAUGGACGUUGAGUGGAUCUAGUUAAGAGUGUGAGAGUCUAGUCCAUAGUUGAUCUAACAUGAUAGUGUGAGAGUCCAGUCCAUAGUGGAUCUAACAUAAUAGUGAGAGUCCAGUCCAUAGUGGAUCUAACAUAAUAGUGUGGGAGUCCAGUCCAUAGUGGAUCUAACAUAAUAGUGUGAGAGUCCAGUCCAUAGUGGAUCUAACAUAAUAGUGUGAGAGUCCAGUCCAUAGUGGAUCUAACAUAAUAGUGUGAGAGUCCAGUCCAUAGUGGAUCUAACAUAAUAGUGUGAGAGUCCAGUCCAUAGUGGAUCUAACAUAAUAGUGUGAGAGUCCAGUGCAUAGUGGAUCUAGUUAGUUAGUACUGUAUGAUGGCAAAAAUUGUAACCUGGACCCGAUUUUUUUCCUGAAAAUUUGACCGCUUUCAAGUGUUUUUUUUACGCAUGUUUCUUCCAUUCAUAUUAUUUUGUACAGCCUACCCACAGGUGCAGAAUGUCGUUGAAAUCCAUGAAAAAGAUAACACUUUCAAAUUGAAAAGUCCGUAUCCAUCCAGGUGGCACUAGAGGUUGUAGUCGUGGUGAUCCUGUGUGUGUAUGCACGCUACAACAGCUGCUUCUUCCUGGUUGGAUGUCAAUAAUAAUCUGUAGGUUAAACUUUGUUUUACUCAUUUACGGUAAAAAAAAAGUGCAUUCGCGAUGUUACGAGCAGGGCUGUUCCAAGCUGAUAUUGAUAUUGGAUAUCGGUCCGAUAUCAGCAAAAAAUAAGUAUCAAAUGAUAUCGACUUGCAUUGAAAAUCUGCGAUACAAGCUCCGAUACAGAGCAUUAAUACAUCUACCAGAGUGUAUCAUGACAGACAGCAUACAUUGUGUAUACUGUAUAGUUGUGUACUACAUACCUAAUAUUGUUCUCUCUUUGACCAAUUUCCUAACCUUCUACACUACAAAAUAAUUAUUUGCUUUUAAGCGUGAAAGUUAGUGUUUAAUACCUAUCAAUGUUUAGUUUGACAAAUUUCACUUGAUUAAAACUUCUAGAACACCGCACAGUACAAAACGAUAAAAUAGUAUGAUUCUUGCAACAUUGUAUCAGAUAAAUAUCAUAUUGCCAACACUCAAGGCUCUGAUAUCGGUAUCGUAUCGGAAGUGAAAAGUUGUAUCGGGACACUCUCGGUUAAGAGUUGUGUUUAGUAACUUUAGUUCAUACACUAUAAUGCCAAAAGUAUUUGGCCACCCAUCCGAAUGAGGAGAAUCAGGCGUCCUAAUCACUUAUCCCGGUGUAUAAAAUCAAGCACUUAGGCAUGGAGACUGUUUCCACAAACAUUUGUGAAAGAAUGGGCCGCUCUCAGUGAUUUCCAGCGUGGAACUGUCAUAGGAUGCCACCUGUGCAACAAAUGCAGUCCUGACAUUUCCUCGCUCCUAAAUAUUCCAAAAUCAACUUUGCUAUAAAAAAAGUGAAGUUUGGGAACAACAGCAACUCAGCCCCCAAGUGGUAGGCCGUGUAAACUGACAGAGAGGGAUCAGUGGAUGCUGAAGCGCAUAGUGCAAAGACUUUCUGCACAGUCAGUUGCUACAGAGCUCCAAACUUCAUGUCACCUUCCAAUUAGCCCACGUACAGUACGCAGAGAGCUUCAUGGAAUGGGUUUCCAUGGCCGAGCAGCUGCAUCCAAGCCAUACAUCACCAAGUCCAAUUCAAAGCGUGGGAUACGGCAGAGUAAAGCACGUGGCCACUGGACUCUAGAGCAGUGGAGACGCCUUCUCUGGACUGCUGAAUCAUGCUUUUC
Long non-coding RNA from Nerophis ophidion (straightnose pipefish), 3672 nucleotides. RefSeq lists it as uncharacterized. The transcript is spliced from 4 exons. NCBI's taxonomy places the organism in Eukaryota, Metazoa, Chordata, Actinopteri, Syngnathiformes, Syngnathidae. The record is from RefSeq and is a predicted model, not a curated record.